Molecule: ribosomal RNA, 797 nt
Filed under: Salmonella enterica
Lineage: Bacteria; Pseudomonadati; Pseudomonadota; Gammaproteobacteria; Enterobacterales; Enterobacteriaceae
Description: bacterial SSU rRNA
Rfam family: Bacterial small subunit ribosomal RNA
Source: RNAcentral
GCUGGCCGCAGGCCUAAGACAUGCAAGUCGAACGGUAACAGGAAGCAGCUUGCUGCUUCGCUGACGAGUGGCGGACGGGUGAGUAAUGUCUGGGAAACUGCCUGAUGGAGGGGGAUAACUACUGGAAACGGUGGCUAAUACCGCAUAACGUCGCAAGACCAAAGAGGGGGACCUUCGGGCCUCUUGCCAUCAGAUGUGCCCAGAUGGGAUUAGCUUGUUGGUGAGGUAACGGCUCACCAAGGCGACGAUCCCUAGCUGGUCUGAGAGGAUGACCAGCCACACUGGAACUGAGACACGGUCCAGACUCCUACGGGAGGCAGCAGUGGGGAAUAUUGCACAAUGGGCGCAAGCCUGAUGCAGCCAUGCCGCGUGUAUGAAGAAGGCCUUCGGGUUGUAAAGUACUUUCAGCGGGGAGGAAGGUGUUGUGGUUAAUAACCGCAGCAAUUGACGUUACCCGCAGAAGAAGCACCGGCUAACUCCGUGCCAGCAGCCGCGGUAAUACGGAGGGUGCAAGCGUUAAUCGGAAUUACUGGGCGUAAAGCGCACGCAGGCGGUCUGUCAAGUCGGAUGUGAAAUCCCCGGGCUCAACCUGGGAACUGCAUUCGAAACUGGCAGGCUUGAGUCUUGUAGAGGGGGGUAGAAUUCCAGGUGUAGCGGUGAAAUGCGUAAAGAUCUGGAGGAAUACCGGUGGCGAAGGCGGCCCCCUGGACAAAGACUGACGCUCAGGUGCGAAAGCGUGGGGGAGCAAACAGGAUUACAUACCCUGGGGGUCCACCCCGUAAACGAUGUCUACUUUG